This 889-nucleotide ribosomal RNA is filed under the name uncultured Neocallimastigales. Its description in RNAcentral is "partial large subunit ribosomal RNA". It matches the Rfam family "Eukaryotic large subunit ribosomal RNA", at positions 22 to 647 of the family's 3401-position model. The record is from RNAcentral. Lineage: Eukaryota; Fungi; Neocallimastigomycota; Neocallimastigomycetes; Neocallimastigales.
GUACACGCUGUGACUAGCAUAUCAAUAAGCGGAGGAAAAGAAACUAACAAGGAUUCCCCUAGUAACGGCGAGUGAAGCGGGAAGAGCUCAAAUUUGAAAUCUUAAAGGGUUUCCCUUUACGAAUUGUAGUUUAAAGAAGUGUUUUCUGUUACGAUCGUAAUAUAAGUUCUUUGGAAUAGGACAUCACAGAGGGUGAGAAUCCCGUCUAUGAUUGCGAUUUGUAGCUUUGUGAUACACUUUCAAAGAGUCGGGUUGUUUGGGAAUGCAGCCCAAAACGGGAGGUAAAUUUCUUCUAAGGCUAAAUAUUGGCGAGAGACCGAUAGCGAACAAGUACCGUGAGGGAAAGAUGAAAAGAACUUUGAAAAGAGAGUUAAAUAGUACGUGAAAUUGUCAAAAGGGAAGCGUUUAACACCAGUGUUGUUUUUCUGAAAAUCAAUUAAAGAACUGUUUAUGCUAAGUUGUUUAGACUUUAUCAGCUAACUGUUUAGUUUUGAGCUUUUCUUUAAUGCACUUUUCAGUUAACAAGUCAACAUCAAUUUCUCUUGCUGUAAAAAAGCUUGAGGAAGGUGGCUUGAGAUUCGUCCUUAAGUGUUUAUAGCCUCUUGCCUAUGCAGUCGGAGAGAUUGAGGUCUGCAGCGUAGAUCCUUCGGGGCUAAAUGCAUUUGUGCUAAGUUAUAGCAUUUUAUAGACAACUUGUUGACUAUGAUUUGUCUUGUAGCUUACUCGCUUAUGUUAUUUUACCUACGCUUAGGAUGUUGACACACGCGCGUGCUCGACUCUAUACAUGACUCUGUGCAUAUCAAUAAGCGGAGGAAAAGGGGCAUGGCUUGACCAUCUCGGAGAGUCAUGUCGUACCUACGCUUAGGAUGUUGACGCAUGAGAUAUACGC